RNAcentral lists this unclassified non-coding RNA (1340 nucleotides) under Hevea brasiliensis (rubber tree). The record is from RNAcentral. Lineage: Eukaryota; Viridiplantae; Streptophyta; Magnoliopsida; Malpighiales; Euphorbiaceae.
UGGUGGGGGUGGUGGCUUUGGUGGUGGCGUAGGGUAUGGAGGUGGAGCAGGUGGAGGUGCAGGUGGAGGUAUUGGAGGUGGUGUAGGCAAUGGUGGUGGCAUAGGAAAAGGUGGAGGCUUAGGUGGUGGAGUUGGAAAGGGUGGUGGCAUUGGAGGUGGGAUAGGAAAGGGAGGUGGAUUAGGUGGUGGGAUAGGAAAAGGUGGUGGUCUUGGUGGUGGAAUAGGUAAGGGUGGUGGAAUUGGAAAGGGAGGUGGAUUAGGUGGCCGCCACGGUGGUGGGAUAGGAAAGGGAGGAGGAUUAGGUGGUGGCAACGGUGGUGGCAUAGGAAAGGGUGGCGGAAUAGGUGGAGGCCAUGGUGGUGGAAUAGGAAAGGGUGGCGGAUUAGGUGGAGGUCAUGGUGGUGGGAUAGGAAAGGGUGGAGGCGGAGGCAUUGGUGGUGGAAUUGGCAAAGGUGGAGGACUAGGCGGUGGCAUUGGAAAAGGUGGAGGACUAGGUGGUGGAAUUGGUAAGGGUGGUGGUCUUGGGGGAGGGAUAGGAAAAGGUGGUGGAGUUGGUGGAGGAGCAAGUGGAGGGUUUGGUAAAGGUGGCGGCAUUGGAGGAGGAGGGAUUGGAAAUGGUGGUGGAUUAGGAGGAGGUGGUGGUGGUGCCGGUGGAGGUUUUGGUAAAGGUGGUGGUUUUGGAGGAGGUAUUGGAAAAGGUGGGGGCAUUGGCGGCGGUGGUGGCUUUGGAAAAGGUGGGGGAGUUGGAGGAGGCAUAGGAGGUGGUUCUGGAGGUGGGUUUGGUGGAGGAGUAGGUGGCGGUGCUGGAGGUGGAUUUGGUGGGGGUGGUGGUUUCGGAGGUGGAGGGGGCGGUGGAAUUGGACACCAUUAAACGUGAGCAUUGCAUGCAUGCAAUGACAUAUAUAAUAUUCAGGAAUAUUAUAUAUAAAUGAUGAUUAUAUAUAUAUAGUUUCUCUUUGCACCUAAUGAUUUUUGUAUUAAACUUGUUAUAAUUGUAGAACCUAUGGUUAAAUUUCGUUCCUGAUGAGGGUGGAAUAAAUCAAAGUUUACAGAUAAUAAGAAUCCAGAAAUUCUGUGGAGAAAGACCUUUAUGUUUGAUCUAUUGCUAUGGCAAUGGCUGUACCCUAUAGUGAACUACAACAUUGCAUUUACUGCCAUACAAACCCAAAACUCAACAAUUUGAAGCAAAUGCGUAGCUCACCACAUUCAGUUUCUUUUGUUUUUCUUUACGAAAUAUGAUAGGAAUGGCAAUGGGAAUGGGACAAGUACCAAUGAAUGAGUUAUAGAGCUAUUCAACAGAAAAAAAUAAUACACUAGAGAAAAAAAAAAAAAAGGAUGAG